CCUUAGUAUUCAUCAUUUCAUAAUAGAUAGAAUAAAAGCAGAAAAUUUAAAACUUUUCAUUUGAAGUUGAACUUCACUUCAUAUAUUAAGAAAGAAACUAACUUGUCACACAUUCCAUCUAGACAUAAGAGUAUGAAAAUAGGGAUUUAGCCCUUACAUCAAUAACAAGCCUUAUAAUACGAAUUACAACAUAGUAUUUAAAUAAGGAAAGUAAAACUAGAAUUAGAAUCAAGCAUCUCCAUCCUCAGCCUUGGGGACUCACCUAUUGGGCAAUUCAAGUUUCUUCUAGAAGGACUAGAAUCACUUCAAUGGCCCAAACCUACACUUUGUGUAGAAAAUAUAAGAAAUAUGAGUUAGUACGAACCACAUGUACUAAGUAUGGAAACAUAUGCAAGUAAAACAUAUGAAACAUGCACAAAGGGACAUUUGGUUAUAAACAUGCUAUAUUUACUUGAAAAGGCCUUUAUGCACAUUCCAAGAACAUUAUACAAGUCCAUACCAUAACAACAAGGCAUAUCCAUACUCAUAAGUAACACCAUAAUCAAGCCAUAGUCAAAAUUUCAUAUUUUAAAGUCCAUUUCAUCUAUACAUCACAAGACCUUACUCAUAACCCCAAAUCAAGUCUACUAGUGCAAAGUGUAUUUUAAGACCCAUUACCCCACAUAAACUAAGUAAACUAACGAAGAGAUCACAAACAUUGUCUUUUACCUCAUACAUCAUCAUAACAAGUAUAGUAAACAACAUGUACACCAAAUAAAACCAACAUCGUGUGUAUCAAGUCACACCAAUAUCAUACAUAUCAUAUAUACAUAAAGAACCCGCCCUAAAAUUCCCCUGUAGUUCCACUUGUGCAAUGUAUAGGUAAAGUCCCAUACCCUUACCUACAACAAGUAACACCUCUUAAGUAGUCCUAGUUAGUGUUCAUCUUCUUAAUUUCAUUCAUUGAUUUUAACAUUCGAGAUAUUUCACCAUAACCGACAUACACCAUGUGAGUUGCAUGGAAUACGGUGUCAUCCCUCACACCGAAAGGAGGGUGAAUACUUUCCAAGGUAAGACAUAAACAUUCGUAUAACAUCUAGGAGGAUCCACUAGCUAAGGUUUCCUAUGGGUGGCACAAAGUUAAGGAACUAGGUGGUUGUUACCAGAAACCUUUUUUAUGCUAAUUAGCAUGGUAUUUUCCACCUUAUGAGAACAUCGGGUGAAUCUUUCUUCUUUUGGGAAAGAACACCUCUCAUUGUCAAGUUCACUCAGUGCUUAGUUAAAUUCCCUUUUUGAAGUGUCUUUAAGUCUUCCUUAAUAUUAAUGUAUAAUAAUAUAGGUCUUUGGAGUUUAACCCCUCAUAUAAUAUGUUCAUAGCUCAUAGAUUUUAAGAUGAGAAAGUUCUUUCAUCACAAAUCUAACAUCAUGUGAGAAAAUCACUUCAAAACAUAGUCUUAAGAAACACAUGGGAAUUACGUUGAACCCCUCAUAAUAGCACACCUAUCAUCAUCUCAGAACCAUCAUAUUCAUAGCAUGAUCAUACAUUCAUAAUUUCAUCAUUCAUACUUCAAGUAAUCAAUAUUAACAAGGAUAAACCAACAAUAAUACAAUAUCAUGUUCAUGACCUUGAAGGUCUAACCUUCCAAGAGUUUAUCCAAAACCCAUGAUAUUUAUCCAUCGAAUCAAUUAUCAUCACCAUAAAAUAGUCAAUUACAGAAGAACAUACUCAAUAACAUUACUCUAUUCAUUAAUCAACAUAAUUCAAGAGUUAGGGUUAAUAGAAGAGGGACAUUUGUUAAUAUUUAAGGAAUUAAGUUAAAACUAAACAAUACAUCAUAUAAGGCAAUUCAUAAAGUAAUAACACAAUUAACACCAAUAUAGACAAUUGAUAAAUUCAUCAUCCUCAAAAAAUUCACCAAUUCAAAUCCAAGAUUUAUGAAAUUAGGAAAGAAUAUGGGUCCAAGUGAAUUUAUACACCUAAACAACCUUAAGUAAUAAUAAUUGAUUCAUAAUUUCAUUUUUCAAAGAAGACCCGUGUGUAGAGAAAAACUAUAGAUUUGGGGGGAUUUUUAAAACAUAUUUGAAGGGACCUCUUGGGGAAAACAAUCCGAAGAGUGAAAGAAAACAUACGUUAAUGAAGACAUAGCCAUAAAAUUGUAAAACAUCUUUGAAGGGACCUCUUGGGAAAAGGAAUCCCAAGAGUGAAAGAAAACAUACCUUAAUGAAGACUUAUCCAUAAAAUUGAGUUGAAAUCUCUGAGAAUUGAUCCUCUUCUUGGAGCUUCAAGGUCCUUCAAUGGAGGUUUUGUGUAGAGAGAGAAUUGAGAGAGAAGGGAGAGUAUCUAUUUUUUUUAUUUCUAAUUGAGUAUUCUCUGU
This 2354-nucleotide long non-coding RNA is filed under the name Solanum lycopersicum (tomato). RNAcentral's name for it is "long non-coding RNA (SLYC_LNC000507)". The record is from RNAcentral. Lineage: Eukaryota; Viridiplantae; Streptophyta; Magnoliopsida; Solanales; Solanaceae.